Nicotiana attenuata is the source of this 3090-nucleotide long non-coding RNA. RefSeq lists it as uncharacterized. Lineage: Eukaryota; Viridiplantae; Streptophyta; Magnoliopsida; Solanales; Solanaceae. The transcript is spliced from 2 exons. The record is from RefSeq and is a predicted model, not a curated record.
CUUUCUUUUAGUGUUCCCCCCAAUUUAUCAAACGAAGAGCAAAACCCUAGCCCCUACAACCCCUCUUCUUCUCAGAUUUACUAUACUACCGUUGGCGAGCAACUGUAAACGUCUGUAUGUACACACUUCUUCUCCUUCUUGUCUAAACAACUAUCUCGCUCUCUUUCGUAGGAAUCUGUAUCUCCUCUGUCCUAGCUUCACCUCUCAGGGAAUUUGUACGUCUCCCGUCUCUUUCUAUUCUGUAUCAAUGGGGAAUGUAAGAUUGUUUUCUUAACUAUUGAUAUCAGUAGUUUUCAGGAGAAUACAUCAAACAUCUUCAACCCUAAAAUCACUAGAUGUAAUUUUGAGACGAAAGUUCUAGAUAUAUAACUCUUUAGUUGUGUUGUGCAGAUUAUUCCAGCAAUUUCUGGAGGAAUUACUGUUUUUUCUGUAAUUACAUAUUUUUCUUAUUUUGUUUCCCUUAUGUUCAAAUAUAUGUGGACUCAAAAGUAAAUAAAUAAAUGUGCGCGUGUCGGAGCCCUCGGUACAUUGAUUGUUUGAGAAUCCAAGUAUUUUCUUCUUGUUGUUCCUCUAUCUAUGUCUGUUUUUCGUAGCUUUAAUUACUUCUGAGCUAAAGAACAUUUAAUGUUUUGCUCAUUUGCUGUUGUGAUACCAGUGAAAUCUCUAUUGCAUUUAUAAUUUUUUUUAUGUUAUUCCUAUUAUGGGCUUAGGUUAGAAUGAGGAAGAGUUACAAUUCAAUUAUUUGGUGGUAGUAAAUUUUCUUUUCAGGUACUCGUUCCUUCUUUUUCGUUGCCUUUUCUAGAUUUAAAAUGUUUGAUGUGUCUUAUUGAACAAAUAAACUUUGAUAUUCAUUUUAAAUAAACUUUUUCAAGGGUGCUAUAUUAUGUACCAUUCGCUCCUUCUAUGAAUGUAAACUUCGUGAAAUUCGUGAUUUUCUUUGUAGUUGUCAGACAUUUUAACUGUUAGAUAGUAGGUCUUAAUCAAAAGGGCCUGGUCACUUGAAUUUAGAGAAGGCCAACAUUUUGUGUAAAAUUAGUUUCAAACCAUUCAUUAGUUGGUUUCAUUAAUAUAUGCUUGAUACAGAUUAGUAAAAUUUCCACGAAUGCAAAUUAUUUAAGUAAUUUGAUCUAAUUAUCAUGUUGUUCCAGAAAAAGAAUGAGUCCUUCAAGUCCCUUUUUGCACUUUGCUUCGUUAUUUCUUAUCCCUCCAUUUUGUUUUAUCACUGGUUGGUAACAAUCCUUAGUGGAUUUUUGGUUUUUAGCAUUAUUUUCAUAUCCAUAGAGUUAGUUGCUGAAGUUUGCUUCUCUGGCACUACUAAGUUUAAUAUUUUUUUAAUGAAGGACCUACUUUUCAAGUUUGCUCUUUAACUUAUGAUCAAAAUUUGGGUGAUCUGAUUUAUAUGUUUGUUGAGUUGUCUAUUAUGGUCUUGAAAUUGUGAAUUAAAAUUUCGUAUGGUAAUUUAGACAUAUAAAAUAGUUGCUUGUGUUAUAGGUACGUUUGUGAUUCUGAUUCUUCUCCAUGUUUCAAAGGUGGGUUGUUUGAGAGAUGCUUCCGAUUCAAUUCUGGAGGAGUUAAAAACCCUCCAGUUUUACUUCCUAACCAAAUAACCAAGUGUCCCUUUUCUCUUUAUUAUUAUAUUUCUGCCCUCAAUUUAACUAUGAAAUUGAUUGAUGCUGCUUGAAAGAUUACUUAUUGUGGAACCCUGCAUUGAUGUCGCUGCAUUUGGAAUCAAGCAUAACAUUUUCAUAUUUGCUAUUUUGCCCUGUUCUUUUUAUUAGUCAGUGUGGAACAAAUCAUCCACCCAUAAACUUUUAACUUUCAGUAUCAGUUUUGUACGGAAUCUUGAGAUGUGACACUUGUUUUGUCGCCGCUAAAGCCUUAUUUUCAGCGGCGACUUACUUGAGAUCGCUAUUGUGUAUUAUUUUUUGUCGCGUCUUUUUUUACUUUUAGUAGCGGAUUUGGUCGCCACAAAUAUGUAGUUAUUGUAGCGACCAUCAAGAGUUGUCACAAGAAACAUUUAGUAACGGUUGUAAUAGUAGCAACCCUAAGGUCGCUGCUAAAAACAAUUAGCGACGAUAGUUAUGAUCUUUUUGUAUAUAUUGGUUUAAUAUUUAGCUUCUCUUCUUGUAUUUGGACGUUGUUAGAUGGAAAAGACAAGCAUACAAUUUUUGGUGGACUAGCUGUGGGAACACAUCCAGGAAGGAACUGUUCAAUCAAAUCAGGUUUUCGAAAUCGUAGGAAAGCUGGAACUAGCUAAAUCACACCUGCUUGCUAAAGCUGGGCGAACUACUGGCACUCCUGGGCCUUCUUCGCUUCAGCAACAAGUAGCUGCAACUCCACUUGUUUCAACAAUGGAUAUGCAAGUAACAACUAAGCCGAUGUUGAGGAAGGACUGCAAUUUAUAGCCGAUGUUGAGUUCUUACUGAAGAGGAUAUCAACGUUUUUCAGUGUGUCUUUGCUCUAUCGAAGCCGUAGCCGAAGCCGUAACCAUAGCCGAAGCCGAGAAGAGCCGAGCGAGCGACGACGACGACGGUGCGAGGCUUGCCUUCUUCUUAACUCUUUAAGAGCUACAUUAAGUGCAUUUGUAUAUAAACCCACCAAAAUCCUUUUCCUCUGCCAAUAUGGGACAAUGCCUCAUUAAAAAGAGAGAGAAACUUAAAAUUUUACUCAAAAAUUUCAUUUUCCCUUCAUUUCCCAUUCACCCUCUUUUUAAUACUUUUCCAUAUUAAAAAGAAACUCAACAGAUUUUACAUUUUCAUACAACUGAGAGUCAUCAUGAAGUUAUCAUUUUGGUCGAAGAAUGACAUCAAACAAAGCAUAACCAUCACCAAAGUGCAAGAGAUAAACUCUACUUGAAGAAAAUCAUCAACAGUUGAUUGUGAUUGAUUGCAAAAGGAACCAGUAGGCUAGAGAUGAACCAAAAUAAACUCUACUGGAAGAGCAUCAUCAACAGCAGAACCAAUAACAUUUUAGAAUUAUUUGAAGUUGGAUAAGCGGGGCAAUUUCCAAUGAAGAAUUAACUAACGAAUUACGUUUCAUUCAAAAAUACCAAAAUUCAAGGUGAAUCAUCUUGAGAUUCUUUGAUCACAA